Molecule: ribosomal RNA, 446 nt
Filed under: uncultured bacterium
Lineage: Bacteria
Description: bacterial SSU rRNA
Rfam family: Bacterial small subunit ribosomal RNA
Source: RNAcentral
AAUUCGGCUUAGAGUUUGAUCCUGGCUCAGAACGAACGCUGGCGGCAUGCCUAACACAUGCAAGUCGAACGAACCCUUCGGGGUUAGUGGCGCACGGGUGCGUAACGCGUGGGAAUCUGCCCUUUGCUUCGGAAUAACAGUUAGAAAUGACUGCUAAUACCGGAUGAUGACUUCGGUCCAAAGAUUUAUCGGCAAAGGAUGAGCCCGCGUAGGAUUAGGUAGUUGGUGGGGCAAAGGCCUACCAAGCCGACGAUCCUUAGCUGGUCUGAGAGGAUGAUCAGCCACACUGGGACUGAGACACGGCCCAGACUCCUACGGGAGGCAGCAGUGGGGAAUAUUGGACAAUGGGCGCAAGCCUGAUCCAGCAAUGCCGCGUGAGUGAUGAAGGCCUUCGGGUUGUAAAGCUCUUUUACCAGGGAUGUAUAAUGACAGUACCUGGAGAAUAA